RNAcentral lists this ribosomal RNA (464 nucleotides) under uncultured Actinomycetales bacterium. RNAcentral describes it as "bacterial SSU rRNA". It matches the Rfam family "Bacterial small subunit ribosomal RNA", at positions 46 to 521 of the family's 1533-position model. The record is from RNAcentral. Lineage: Bacteria; Bacillati; Actinomycetota; Actinomycetes; Actinomycetales.
GCUUAACACAUGCAAGUCGAACGGAAAGGCCCUGCUUUUGUGGGGUGCUCGAGUGGCGAACGGGUGAGUAACACGUGAGUAACCUGCCCUUGACUUUGGGAUAACUUCAGGAAACUGGGGCUAAUACCGGAUAGGAGCUCCUGCUGCAUGGUGGGGGUUGGAAAGUUUCGGCGGUUGGGGAUGGACUCGCGGCUUAUCAGCUUGUUGGUGGGGUAGUGGCUUACCAAGGCUUUGACGGGUAGCCGGCCUGAGAGGGUGACCGGCCACAUUGGGACUGAGAUACGGCCCAGACUCCUACGGGAGGCAGCAGUGGGGAAUAUUGCACAAUGGGCGGAAGCCUGAUGCAGCAACGCCGCGUGCGGGAUGACGGCCUUCGGGUUGUAAACCGCUUUCGCCUGUGACGAAGCGUGAGUGACGGUAAUGGGUAAAGAAGCACCGGCUAACUACGUGCCAGCAGCCGCGGU